GAUGAACGCUGGCGGCGUGCCUAAUACAUGCAAGUCGAGCGAACGGACGAGAAGCUUGCUUUUCUGAUGUUAGCGGCGGACGGGUGAGUAACACGUGGAUAACCUACCUAUAAGACUGGGAUAACUUCGGGAAACCGGAGCUAAUACCGGAUAAUAUUUUGAACCGCAUGGUUCAAAAGUGAAAGACGGUCUUGCUGUCACUUAUAGAUGGAUCCGCGCUGCAUUAGCUAGUUGGUAAGGUAACGGCUUACCAAGGCAACGAUGCAUAGCCGACCUGAGAGGGUGAUCGGCCACACUGGAACUGAGACACGGUCCAGACUCCUACGGGAGGCAGCAGUAGGGAAUCUGCCGCAAUGGGCGAAAGCCUGACGGAGCAACGCCGCGUGAGUGAUGAAGGUCUUCGGAUCGUAAAACUCUGUUAUUAGGGAAGAACAUAUGUGUAAGUAACUGUGCACAUCUUGACGGUACCUAAUCAGAAAGCCACGGCUAACUACG
Molecule: ribosomal RNA, 495 nt
Filed under: uncultured bacterium
Lineage: Bacteria
Description: partial 16S ribosomal RNA
Rfam family: Bacterial small subunit ribosomal RNA
Source: RNAcentral